Molecule: ribosomal RNA, 209 nt
Filed under: uncultured bacterium
Lineage: Bacteria
Description: partial 16S ribosomal RNA
Rfam family: Bacterial small subunit ribosomal RNA
Source: RNAcentral
CGUAGGCGGCCCGUUAAGUCGGGGGUGAAAUACUUCGGCUCAACCGGAGAAUUGCCUUCGAUACUGGCGGGCUGGAGGAAGGUAGGGGUCGGCGGGAACUGCCAGUGGAGCGGUGAAAUGCGUUGAUAUUGGCAGGAACGCCGGUGGUGAAGACGCGCGGCUGGACCUUUUCUUGACGCUGAUGCACGAAAGCCAGGGGAGCAAAACGG